This 253-nucleotide ribosomal RNA is filed under the name uncultured bacterium. Its description in RNAcentral is "partial 16S ribosomal RNA". It matches the Rfam family "Bacterial small subunit ribosomal RNA", at positions 524 to 776 of the family's 1533-position model. The record is from RNAcentral.
UACGAAGGGGGCUAGCGUUGCUCGGAAUCACUGGGCGUAAAGCGCACGUAGGCGGGUCUUUAAGUCAGGGGUGAAAUCCUGGAGCUCAACUCCAGAAUUGCCUUUGAUACUGAGGAUCUCGAGUCCGGGAGAGGUGAGUGGAACUCCGAGUGUAGAGGUGAAAUUCGUAGAUAUUCGGAAGAACACCAGUGGCGAAGGCGGCUCACUGGCCCGGUACUGACGCUGAGGUGCGAAAGCGUGGGGAGCAAACAGG